CCUACGGGAGGCUGCAGUGGGGAAUAUUGGACAAUGGGGGCAACCCUGAUCCAGCCAUGCCGCGUGUGUGAAGAAGGCCCUCGGGUUGUAAAGCACUUUCAGUGAGGAAGAACGCCUGGUGGUUAAUACCCAUCAGGAAAGACAUCACUCACAGAAGAAGCACCGGCUAACUCCGUGCCAGCAGCCGCGGUAAUACGGAGGGUGCGAGCGUUAAUCGGAAUUACUGGGCGUAAAGCGCGCGUAGGUGGCUUGAUAAGCCGGUUGUGAAAGCCCCGGGCUCAACCUGGGAACGGCAUCCGGAACUGUCAAGCUAGAGUGCCGGAGAGGAAGGUAGAAUUCCCGGUGUAGCGGUGAAAUGCGUAGAGAUCGGGAGGAAUACCAGUGGCGAAGGCGGCCUUCUGGACUGACACUGACACUGAGGUGCGAAAGCGUGGGUAGCAAACAGGAUUAGAUACCCUUGUAGUC
Molecule: ribosomal RNA, 465 nt
Filed under: Vreelandella stevensii
Lineage: Bacteria; Pseudomonadati; Pseudomonadota; Gammaproteobacteria; Oceanospirillales; Halomonadaceae
Description: partial 16S ribosomal RNA
Rfam family: Bacterial small subunit ribosomal RNA
Source: RNAcentral